This 495-nucleotide ribosomal RNA is filed under the name uncultured bacterium. RNAcentral describes it as "SSU rRNA". It matches the Rfam family "Bacterial small subunit ribosomal RNA", at positions 26 to 521 of the family's 1533-position model. The record is from RNAcentral.
AGGACGAACGCUGGCGGCGUGCUUAACACAUGCAAGUGGAGCGACGAACCCGGGCUUGCCCUGGGGCAGAGCCGCGAACGGGUGAGUAACACGUGGGUUACCUGCCUCGAUGACCGGGACAACCCGAGGAAACUCGGGCUAAUACCGGAUGUGCCCGCAAGGGGAAAGGAAGCUUCGGCCUCCGCAUCGAGAUGGGCCCGCGGCCCAUUAGCUUGUUGGUGAGGUAACGGCUCACCAAGGCUUCGAUGGGUAGCUGGUCUGAGAGGACGAUCAGCCACACUGGGACUGAGACACGGCCCAGACUCCUACGGGAGGCAGCAGUGGGGAAUCUUGCGCAAUGCGCGAAAGCGUGACGCAGCAACGCCGCGUGGGGGAAGAAGGCUUUCGGGUUGUAAACCCCUUUCAGUUGGGACGAAGCUUCUCCGGUAAAUAGCCGGACGGAGUGACGGUACCUUCACAAGAAGCACCGGCUAACUACGUGCCAGCAGCCGCGGU